Molecule: ribosomal RNA, 939 nt
Filed under: uncultured Bacillota bacterium
Lineage: Bacteria; Bacillati; Bacillota
Description: bacterial SSU rRNA
Rfam family: Bacterial small subunit ribosomal RNA
Source: RNAcentral
AACACAUGCAAGUCGAACGGAGUUAUUUUCUUCACUCCGAGCUUUUUGCCGGUUAGCCGGAGCGGCAAUCGGUUUUGCCCAGCAUAAAAAGCAAAACCGAUUGAGGCUCAUAAAGUAAGACUAACACAGAGGGCAGAGAGUUGGGAGUGAAGAAAAUAACUUAGUGGCGAACGGGUGAGUAACGCGUGAGUAACCUGCCCUGGAGUGGGGGACAACAGUUGGAAACGACUGCUAAUACCGCAUAAGCCCACGGCCCGGCAUCGGGCUGCGGGAAAAGGAUUUAUUCGCUUCAGGAUGGACUCGCGUCCAAUUAGCUAGUUGGUGAGGUAAUGGCCCACCAAGGCGACGAUUGGUAGCCGGACUGAGAGGUUGAACGGCCACAUUGGGACUGAGACACGGCCCAGACUCCUACGGGAGGCAGCAGUGGGGGAUAUUGCACAAUGGGGGAAACCCUGAUGCAGCGACGCCGCGUGGAGGAAGAAGGUUUUCGGAUUGUAAACUCCUGUCGUUAGGGACGAUAAUGACGGUACCUAACAAGAAAGCACCGGCUAACUACGUGCCAGCAGCCGCGGUAAAACGUAGGGUGCAAGCGUUGUCCGGAAUUACUGGGUGUAAAGGGAGCGCAGGCGGACCGGCAAGUUGGAAGUGAAAACUAUGGGCUCAACCCAUAAAUUGCUUUCAAAACUGCUGGCCUUGAGUAGUGCAGAGGUAGGUGGAAUUCCCGGUGUAGCGGUGGAAUGCGUAGAUAUCGGGAGGAACACCAGUGGCGAAGGCGACCUACUGGGCACCAACUGACGCUGAGGCUCGAAAGCAUGGGUAGCAAACAGGAUUAGAUACCCUGGUAGUCCAUGCCGUAAACGAUGAUUACUAGGUGUUGGAGGAUUGACCCCUUCAGUGCCGCAGUUAAAACAAUAAGUAAUCCACCUGGGGAGUACGACC